GGGGCGGACCGGGGCGCCGCCCGGUUCCCGCUGUCUUUGGCGGGAUCCGGGAGGAAAGUCCGGGCUCGAUAGGACGCGACGCCGGCUAACGGCCGGGCGCGGUGCUGGAGACGGCAGCGCGACAGACAGCGCAACAGAAAGCGUACCGCCUCGGGGAAACCCGGGGUAAGGGUGAAAAGGUGGGGUAAGAGCCCACCGCGUCCGCGGCAACGAGGACGGCACGGCAAACCUCGUCGCGAGCAAGGCCAAGCAGUGGUCCGCGGUCCGCGGGCGGGCGCCUCUGGCGCCCGCGAUCCACGGGUUGGCCGCGCGAGCCGGAAGGCAACUUCCGGUCAAGAUGGAUGGCGCCCGGUCGGCCGCAAGGCCGGCCACAGAACCCGGCUUACAGGUCCGCCCCUUUU
This 401-nucleotide RNase P RNA is filed under the name Spirochaetales bacterium. Its description in RNAcentral is "RNase P RNA component class A". It matches the Rfam family "Bacterial RNase P class A". From Rfam's summary of the family: Ribonuclease P (RNase P) is a ubiquitous endoribonuclease, found in archaea, bacteria and eukarya as well as chloroplasts and mitochondria. Lineage: Bacteria; Pseudomonadati; Spirochaetota; Spirochaetia; Spirochaetales. The record is from RNAcentral. RNAcentral also lists the same sequence under 1 other name.